AUGGAGAACCUUUUUUGUCUUCAAAAGAUGACUUUUGUUUCUUUGUUUUUGCUAUCCCUACGAGACUGGUUGGACAUCUCACUCAAUCAUGCCAUGCCAUCGUCCAUUCUCAUACUUUCAAGGACUUUUGUCAUAUAUGGGAGAAUAAAACCUGAGGAGGCUGUUGUAGCAAUAUUGUCUUCUCUACCAGAUGAGUUUGUACGGUAUUGCCAUCUAAAGAUUCAGUUUCUAAGAGGAGGAAAAAACUGGAAUUCCUUCAGAUGCAGGAAGAACUUAUCAAGGUGA
Molecule: ribosomal RNA, 285 nt
Filed under: Triticum aestivum (bread wheat)
Lineage: Eukaryota; Viridiplantae; Streptophyta; Magnoliopsida; Poales; Poaceae
Description: partial small subunit ribosomal RNA
Source: RNAcentral